AAAUAGCAAACCACUCCAGUAUCUCUGCCAAGAAAACCCCGAAUGGAGUCAAGAAGAGUUGGACAGAACUAAAAAAACAGCAGAACGACACCAAGGGAAUCCAUUAUAUAAGAACCCAAGAUUCCUGGGGACUAUGAGAUCUAUAAGAUCAGGACUGUAUCUUAUACAAACCUUGGAUCUUUUCUAGUGCUUGGCAUAGUACUCUGCACAUGAAAUAAACCUGCUUUAUACCAAUACAAUCUCUGUGGCUUUGGUGGAGGCGAGAGGGAAGAAGCGUUUAUACAUUUUGAAUCUAGUGGCAAGGAUGAAGAACGGCCCCUCCAAUCCCUUUUGGUUUGGGGGGAAUGAGAUUUAAAGCUGUGCAUGGGAACUGGAACCUAGCAGUCUGGGCAAGAAGAAAAUAUCCAAAAAAAGAAAAGAAAAAAAGGAAGAAGAAAAUAUGCCGUUGAUUGAUUCAACCAUGAGAGUAAG
Phascolarctos cinereus (koala) is the source of this 471-nucleotide non-coding RNA. NCBI's taxonomy places the organism in Eukaryota, Metazoa, Chordata, Mammalia, Diprotodontia, Phascolarctidae. The record is from RefSeq and is a predicted model, not a curated record.